GACCAAGGAGUCUAACAUGUGCGCGAGUCGUAGGGUUACGCUCAAAGCCCGAAGGCGCAAUGAAAGUGAAGGUCGGCCUCGAUUGCCGUUACCUAGGCGGGAUCCGUUCGGGCUUACCGGUCGUUCGCGGCUGAGCCCGGCGGCGCACCGCCGGCCCGUCUCGACCGCAUCGCCGGUGAGGCGGAGCGAGAGCGUACACGUUGGGACCCGAAAGAUGGUGAACUAUGCCCGGGCAGGACGAAGCCAGAGGAAACUCUGGUGGAGGUCCGUAGCGAUUCUGACGUGCAAAUCGAUCGUCGGACCUGGUUAUAGGGGCGAAAGACUAAUCGAACCUUCUAGUAGCUGGUUCCU
RNAcentral lists this ribosomal RNA (351 nucleotides) under Craterostigmus tasmanianus. Its description in RNAcentral is "eukaryotic LSU rRNA". It matches the Rfam family "Eukaryotic large subunit ribosomal RNA", at positions 664 to 959 of the family's 3401-position model. The record is from RNAcentral. Lineage: Eukaryota; Metazoa; Arthropoda; Chilopoda; Craterostigmomorpha; Craterostigmidae.